Molecule: small RNA, 251 nt
Filed under: Pan troglodytes (chimpanzee)
Lineage: Eukaryota; Metazoa; Chordata; Mammalia; Primates; Hominidae
Description: processed transcript
Source: RNAcentral
AAAGAAAGCUGUGAAAACAGUGAAGAAAAAAGACAAAGGAAAAUCUGAGGAUUCAGAAAAGAAGAUGUCUCCAGAAAAAGAGUUUAAAAUAAAAGAAGAUUUGGAUCAAGUACAGGUAACACACCCACUCUCUCUAUGCAUCAAUAUUUGAUUAAUACUUGCUCUGAUAGUCAUAUAUGGAGAAACAUUAUUACGUAUGUGAUUAUAGGGUAUAUAUGUCUGUGUGUGUGUAUGUGUCUCUGUGUGUGUGU